AGGGUCUUAGUUUAAUCAAAACCUUUCCUUUGCAAGGAAAUAAUGUUUCGAAAGUUUUCCUUC
This 63-nucleotide transfer RNA is filed under the name Bovicola caprae. Its description in RNAcentral is "tRNA-Ala". Lineage: Eukaryota; Metazoa; Arthropoda; Insecta; Psocodea; Bovicoliidae. The record is from RNAcentral.